RNAcentral lists this ribosomal RNA (323 nucleotides) under Vibrio cholerae. RNAcentral describes it as "partial 23S ribosomal RNA". It matches the Rfam family "Bacterial large subunit ribosomal RNA", at positions 341 to 673 of the family's 2925-position model. The record is from RNAcentral. Lineage: Bacteria; Pseudomonadati; Pseudomonadota; Gammaproteobacteria; Vibrionales; Vibrionaceae.
GCUGGAAAGCUUGGCGAUACAGGGUGAUAGCCCCGUAACCGACGCUUCAUCGAGCGUGAAAUCGAGUAGGGCGGGACACGUGAUAUCCUGUCUGAAUAUGGGGGGACCAUCCUCCAAGGCUAAAUACUCCUGACUGACCGAUAGUGAACCAGUACCGUGAGGGAAAGGCGAAAAGAACCCCUGUGAGGGGAGUGAAAUAGAACCUGAAACCGUGUACGUACAAGCAGUAGGAGCACCUUCGUGGUGUGACUGCGUACCUUUUGUAUAAUGGGUCAGCGACUUAUAUUCAGUGGCAAGGUUAACCGUAUAGGGGAGCCGUAGCG